This is a long non-coding RNA of Zea mays, 1535 nucleotides long. RefSeq lists it as uncharacterized. Lineage: Eukaryota; Viridiplantae; Streptophyta; Magnoliopsida; Poales; Poaceae. The record is from RefSeq and is a predicted model, not a curated record. The transcript has 2 exons.
UUUGCCACAAACGGCUGACUGGGUCGACGGCUGAAGCCGAACCCUAGAAGUUCUCUGUUGUGUCGAAGUCGAACCCUAGAAGUUCUCUGUUCUCUCCCUCGUCCGGUCGUCCUCGUCCCUCACUCCCUCUCCCUAGUUGCCUACCCCCGCCGCCGCUCAACUCAAUAGUUGCUCGGUGCCUCGGCCUCGGUUGCUCUUGCAGUCUUGCUCGCCAAGUCGCCAGGUGACCAGGUCCUAGACCCACGCCGCCGCUGCAUCCAGAUUCCGGACCCACGCCACUGCCGCCUGCAUCCAGUCUCCAUGGCAGUUACCAGUGACACCACAAAUGAUGACGGACGGUGAUGCUUCUUCUUGAACCUCGUUCCUCUUCGUCAUAUUAACCUUGUAGCUCCGCACAUGACCGCAUCUUCAUCUCGCCCUUUGCUGACACCUCGCCGUCCCAAAGGAAGUCGCUACCACUUCAACUGAGCAUUGCCCCCGGAUUCGAAGGACAAGAGCAACGACGGCGACAGAGACCCAAAUGGAUCUGCUUCCCCUUCAUCUCUUGCACUUCCUACUCCGAACAGAGGACAAGGCUCAUGUGGGCAGGGCCGACAGGCCAAACGUCGUCACGUUCGCUCCCGGCGGUUGACACAUCGUGAAGGCUGGUGGUAGCCGGCCUCCCCGGUCUUCAAAUACAACCGUCGCUGCUCGAUCAGGUCGCAAACUCCUGCUACCUCUCAGGUUGAGGAAAAUGUCUACAGCUAGUGAGAGUGAUGGAACUCAUGGAAGCAACCAGAGCCAGUGUGCAGUGUCUCAAGAGUCACCACCUGCCACUGAGUCAAACAACGAUGCAGAGUCAAUUGACAUACAAGAUGAAGAUGAAGAGGAAGAUGUUGUAGUUGGGUCCAAGAGGAAACGAACUUUUGCUGUUUGGAAAGAGUUCACCGAAGUGCGGAUUGGAGGCAAUGUACAUGCAAAAUGCAACUAUUGCUCCAAGAAGCUUUCAGGAUCAUCCAAGAAUGGAACUAACCAUCUUCGUCUCCAUUUGAAGUCUUGUGUGCAAAAGAGGAUCAAGGUGAAUGGAAAGACCAUGGCACAUGCUUCUUUGAGGUUUGGUAAAACAGAUGCUGGGACGGUUUUAGUUGAGAACUACACCUUUGAUCAAGACAUAGCUAGACAAGAACUUAGUGCAAUGAUAGUACUUCAUGAGUACCCAUUAAGCAUGGUUGAUCAUGUAGGCUUCAGAAGGUUUGUUGGUGCACUUCAACCACUUUUCAAGAUUGGGACAAGGAAUACUAUAAGGUAUAAUAGAUGUGACUUCUAGUUUUACUUCUAGUUCUUUUGAUAGCCUGGAGUCAUGUGGAGUUCUUUUGAAUCAAAGGCUCUGGACGCAUGCUAGUGGGUAAUGUAAUGUUGCUGCUGGUGGUCAUGUAGUGUCGACGUGUGGUACUGGUUAACCACCAAUAAUUGUAAUUUUCUGGUGAUCAUGUAAUGCUGCUGGAGCUGGACGUGUUCUUUUGGUUAUUUAUGCUGCUGCUGGUAAACUUGCAAAA